RNAcentral lists this transfer RNA (67 nucleotides) under marine eukaryotic metagenome. It matches the Rfam family "tRNA". Rfam says of the family: Transfer RNA (tRNA) molecules are approximately 80 nucleotides in length. Their secondary structure includes four short double-helical elements and three loops (D, anti-codon, and T loops). Further hydrogen bonds mediate the characteristic L-shaped molecular structure. tRNAs have two regions of fundamental functional importance: the anti-codon, which is responsible for specific mRNA codon recognition, and the 3' end, to which the tRNAs corresponding amino acid is attached (by aminoacyl-tRNA synthetases). tRNAs cope with the degeneracy of the genetic code in two manners: having more than one tRNA (with a specific anti-codon) for a particular amino acid; and 'wobble' base-pairing, i.e. permitting non-standard base-pairing at the 3rd anti-codon position. The record is from RNAcentral.
GGAUGUCGCCAAGUGGUAAGGCAACGGACUUUGACUCCGUUAUGCGUAGGUUCGAAUCCUACCAUCC